This 445-nucleotide ribosomal RNA is filed under the name uncultured bacterium. RNAcentral's name for it is "bacterial SSU rRNA". It matches the Rfam family "Bacterial small subunit ribosomal RNA", at positions 29 to 480 of the family's 1533-position model. The record is from RNAcentral.
AGUGAACGUUGGCGGCGUGCCUAACACAUGCAAGUCGUACGAAACCCAAGGAGCUUGCUUUUUGGGAAAAGUGGCGAACGGGUGAGUAACACGUGAGUAACCUGCCCUCGAGCGGGGAACAACUUCGCGAAAGCGAAGCUAAUACCGCAUAAUACUCCGGAGCAUAAGCUUUCGGAGUCAAAGCUUUCGAGCGCUUGAGGAUGGGCUCGCGGCCUAUUAGCUAGUUGGUAGGGUAACGGCCUACCAAGGUGACGAUGGGUAGCCGGCCUGAGAGGGUGAUCGGCCACACUGGAACUGCGACACGGUCCAGACUCCUACGGGAGGCAGCAGUGGGGAAUUUUGCGCAAUGGGCGAAAGCCUGACGCAGCGACGCCGCGUGGAGGAUGACGGCCUUCGGGUUGUAAACUCCUGUCAGAGGUGAAGAAAUCUUCGGAUGACGGUAACU